AUUGAACGCUGGCGGCAGGCCUAACACAUGCAAGUCGAGCGGAUGAAGGGAGCUUGCUCCUGGAUUCAGCGGCGGACGGGUGAGUAAUGCCUAGGAAUCUGCCUGGUAGUGGGGGAUAACGUCCGGAAACGGGCGCUAAUACCGCAUACGUCCUGAGGGAGAAAGUGGGGGAUCUUCGGACCUCACGCUAUCAGAUGAGCCUAGGUCGGAUUAGCUAGUUGGUGGGGUAAAGGCCUACCAAGGCGACGAUCCGUAACUGGUCUGAGAGGAUGAUCGGUCACACUGGAACUGAGACACGGUCCAGACUCCGACGGGAGGCAGCAGUGGGGAAUAUUGGACAAUGGGCGAAAGCCUGAUCCAGCCAUGCCGCGUGUGUGAAGAAGGUCUUCGGAUUGUAAAGCACUUUAAGUUGGGAGGAAGGGCAGUAAGUUAAGACCUUGCUGUUUUGACGUUACCAACAGAAGAAGCACCGGCUAACUUCGUG
This 484-nucleotide ribosomal RNA is filed under the name uncultured bacterium. Its description in RNAcentral is "partial 16S ribosomal RNA". It matches the Rfam family "Bacterial small subunit ribosomal RNA", at positions 30 to 507 of the family's 1533-position model. The record is from RNAcentral.